UACGUAGGGGGCGAGCGUUAUCCGGAUUUACUGGGUGUAAAGGGAGCGUAGACGGCAUGGCAAGCCAGAUGUGAAAGCCCGGGGCUCAACCCCGGGACUGCAUUUGGAACUGUCAGGCUAGAGUGUCGGAGAGGAAAGCGGAAUUCCUAGUGUAGCGGUGAAAUGCGUAGAUAUUAGGAGGAACACCAGUGGCGAAGGCGGCUUUCUGGACGAUGACUGACGUUGAGGCUCGAAAGCGUGGGGAGCAAACAGG
This 253-nucleotide ribosomal RNA is filed under the name Mediterraneibacter gnavus ATCC 29149. RNAcentral's name for it is "[Ruminococcus] gnavus ATCC 29149 partial 16S ribosomal RNA". It matches the Rfam family "Bacterial small subunit ribosomal RNA", at positions 524 to 776 of the family's 1533-position model. The record is from RNAcentral. Lineage: Bacteria; Bacillati; Bacillota; Clostridia; Lachnospirales; Lachnospiraceae.